CAGCAGCCACGGGAAUACGAAGGGGGCUAGCGUUGCUCGGAAUGACUGGGCGUAAAGGGCGCGUAGGCGGAUUGCGCAGUCAGAUGUGAAAUUCCUGGGCUUAACCUGGGGGCUGCAUUUGAGACGCGUAGUCUAGAGUGUGAAAGAGGGUCGUGGAAUUCCCAGUGUAGAGGUGAAAUUCGUAGAUAUUGGGAAGAACACCGGUGGCGAAGGCGGCGACCUGGUUCAUGACUGACGCUGAGGCGCGAAAGCGUGGGGAGCAAACAGGAUUAGAUACCCCCGUAGUCCCUGUCUCUUAUAC
RNAcentral lists this ribosomal RNA (301 nucleotides) under uncultured bacterium. RNAcentral describes it as "partial 16S ribosomal RNA". It matches the Rfam family "Bacterial small subunit ribosomal RNA", at positions 509 to 807 of the family's 1533-position model. The record is from RNAcentral.